AGGGCUGUAGCUCAGUGGUAGAGCACUUGCCUAGCAUGUGAGCACCCUGGAUUUAUCCUCAGCCCUG
This 67-nucleotide transfer RNA is filed under the name Heterocephalus glaber (naked mole-rat). It matches the Rfam family "tRNA". Rfam says of the family: Transfer RNA (tRNA) molecules are approximately 80 nucleotides in length. Their secondary structure includes four short double-helical elements and three loops (D, anti-codon, and T loops). The record is from Rfam by way of RNAcentral. Lineage: Eukaryota; Metazoa; Chordata; Mammalia; Rodentia; Bathyergidae.